CCUACGGGAGGCAGCAGUGGGGAAUCUUGCGCAAUGGGCGAAAGCCUGACGCAGCCAUGCCGCGUGAAUGAUGAAGGUCUUAGGAUUGUAAAAUUCUUUCACCGGGGACGAUAAUGACGGUACCCGGAGAAGAAGCCCCGGCUAACUUCGUGCCAGCAGCCGCGGUAAUACGAAGGGGGCUAGCGUUGCUCGGAAUUACUGGGCGUAAAGGGAGCGUAGGCGGAUAGUUUAGUCAGAGGUGAAAGCCCAGGGCUCAACCUUGGAAUUGCCUUUGAUACUGGCUAUCUUGAGUGUGGGAGAGGUAUGUGGAACUCCGAGUGUAGAGGUGAAAUUCGUAGAUAUUCGGAAGAACACCAGUGGCGAAGGCGACAUACUGGCCCAUUACUGACGCUGAGGCUCGAAAGCGUGGGGAGCAAACAGGAUUAGAUACCCUGGUAGUCCACGCUGUAAACGAUGAGUGCUAGUUGUCGGCAGCAUGCUGUCGGUGACGCAGCUACGACAUUAAGUACACUCCGCCGUGGGAGGUACGGUCGCGAGAUUAAACUACGAAAGGAAGUUAGACGGCGUGAGACGUGCCGACGGACGACGACGAGGGAGGUAGG
RNAcentral lists this ribosomal RNA (602 nucleotides) under uncultured bacterium. RNAcentral's name for it is "bacterial SSU rRNA". It matches the Rfam family "Bacterial small subunit ribosomal RNA", at positions 338 to 1415 of the family's 1533-position model. The record is from RNAcentral.